AUCUGGGAGGCCACAAACCAUGGAAGCUGUACGCAUGGCGUAGUGGACUAGCGGUUAGAGGAGACCCCUCCCUGGCAAAUCGCAGCAACAAUGGGGGCCCAAGGUGAGAUGAAGCUGUAGUCUCACUGGAAGGACUAGAGGUUAGAGGAGACCCCCCCGAAAUAAAAAACAGCAUAUUGACGC
This 183-nucleotide long non-coding RNA is filed under the name dengue virus type 2. RNAcentral's name for it is "Dengue virus type 2 partial sfRNA3". The stretch from base 93 to 164 matches the Rfam family "Flavivirus DB element". Lineage: Riboviria; Orthornavirae; Kitrinoviricota; Flasuviricetes; Amarillovirales; Flaviviridae. The record is from RNAcentral.